Gallus gallus (chicken) is the source of this 397-nucleotide long non-coding RNA. The record is from Ensembl. NCBI's taxonomy places the organism in Eukaryota, Metazoa, Chordata, Aves, Galliformes, Phasianidae.
GGUUCCAUUUUCCGAGGUCCACAGACCUUGUUUAGAUGAUGAAUGCCGUCUGGAUCUCUAGUCAAGAUUUAGCCAAAAACUGAACUGGGAAGCCAGCAUUUUAUAUUGGCGUGACAGUUAAUGAACUGAGCAUAGCUCGGUGGAACUACACUUUCUAUUUGUGUGUGAUGGAAAUUGGCUAAAAGUAAGAGAUGGACCUUCCUCCUCUCCUACCUGUCCCAAACCAGGAUACUACUCUGAGGAGCUUUGGAGGAGUGUGAAGUCCCAGUGCAGAAGAGACAAAUAUGGUUUUCACACGGGAUUGUGCAGCUGCUGUUCCCAUCAGCUGUCCCAGGUACAUAAAUCUCAUCCUGAAUUUGGCUGCUUGAAGCUUCUUGUAAAAUGCUGAUCGAAUGCU